UAUAGUUUGUUAACAAGACAUUUGUGGAGUGGUUGAAAAACAACUUUUAAUGACUCCAACCUCAGUGUAUAUAAACGUCAGACUUCUAGUGUAGCUACGCUGUACUGUUUGUCCUCAUGUGUCUGUUAAUGUUUUUCAGUAUAAAGUACUCUGCAGCCACUUAGUGUGGACACCAGGUUAUAUCAGCUGUGUUGGUGAACCCCUCCCUCAUCUGAACUGGCUACACGGAGGGCACAGCAGGAUCAGAGGUAUGUUUUGAUGUGCGAGAGGAUGCCAACCCCCAGUCCCGUCAUCACCAUCUCACCCGCUCUACGAUAACCUUCGGGCCAACUGGGGACCCAAGGCUCACCCGCUCUAAGAUAACCU
Coregonus clupeaformis (lake whitefish) is the source of this 366-nucleotide long non-coding RNA. RefSeq lists it as uncharacterized. The record is from RefSeq and is a predicted model, not a curated record. The transcript has 3 exons. Lineage: Eukaryota; Metazoa; Chordata; Actinopteri; Salmoniformes; Salmonidae.